CUCAUUUAUGAAUACAUUUAUCACUUUUCUCUAUUAAAAAAGAAAAAGAAAAAGAAGCUCCUCCUCAAAGCAAAUGAGAUUUGUUUUGAGGAUCCUUAGUUUUAAGGUCCAAAUAUUUUCCUUUUAUUUUUAUCAAAGAUGGAUUCAGAUUUUCAAACCUGUCCAUCUCACCUUUAUCCUCUGGUCGCAUAUCAAAUAGUUCACCCCCAAUCCAUGAAGCCAAAUUUUUACUUUUACUAUUCAC
RNAcentral lists this long non-coding RNA (244 nucleotides) under Prunus persica (peach). Its description in RNAcentral is "long non-coding RNA (PPER_LNC003726)". The record is from RNAcentral. Lineage: Eukaryota; Viridiplantae; Streptophyta; Magnoliopsida; Rosales; Rosaceae.